This 675-nucleotide long non-coding RNA is filed under the name Physcomitrium patens. Its description in RNAcentral is "long non-coding RNA (PPAT_LNC000713)". Lineage: Eukaryota; Viridiplantae; Streptophyta; Bryopsida; Funariales; Funariaceae. The record is from RNAcentral.
GCGUUAAGAAUGUCAGCCGCGUCGUGGCCAUGGCCACCAAGAAGGUGUCGGCCAGGCCUGCUGCUGGAGGCAAGAAGUCGUGGAUCCCCGCUGUGAAGGGUGGAGGUAACCUCACCGACCCCGAGUGGUUGGAUGGCUCGUAAGUUUCUUCACUUUUAGCUUAUGACAAUUGCGUUAGAGACGUAAGUGAAUAUUAGAGCUUUUCUAAAUGCAAUCGAUACUGUAUUUGUAGUGAUGGGUUAUUUCAUGGAUGUAGUGCUCGUGUAGUGUUAGACUUCAGUUGAGAGGCUGCAUUGCUAUCUUGAUUGCCUCCAGACCUUGCGCAACUCAAAGGAUGUCGGUGUGUAAUGAUGGUAUGCGCCCCGCUGCAUCGCCCGAUUUAGAAAAUUGGAUGAGAGGGUGUCUAAUUGUGUUUUGUUCGUACAGUCACUAACACUGUUAAUGUUUUUGUGUAGUCUUCCCGGCGACUACGGAUUCGACCCCUUGGGCUUGGGCAGGGACCCCGCCGCCUUGAAAUGGUAUAGAGAAGCAGAGCUCAUCCACGGAAGGUGGGCAAUGGCUGCCGUUGUCGGUAUCUUCGUCGGACAGGGAUGGAGCGGCGUUCCAUGGUUCGAAGCUGGUGCUGACCCCGCCGCGCUGGCACCAUUCUCGUUCGGAAGUCUGUUGGGCACCCAG